Molecule: ribosomal RNA, 216 nt
Filed under: Glomeromycotina sp.
Lineage: Eukaryota; Fungi; Glomeromycota
Description: partial small subunit ribosomal RNA
Rfam family: Eukaryotic small subunit ribosomal RNA (bases 40-216)
Source: RNAcentral
GGGUCAGUGGGUUGGUCGUGCCACCGGUACGUACUGGUCUCACUGAUUCCUCCUUCCUGAAGAACCGUAAUGCCAUUAAUUUGGUGUUGCGGGGAAACAGGACUGUUACUUUGAAAAAAUUAGAGUGUUUAAAGCAAGCUAACGCUUGAAUACAUUAGCGUGGAAUAAUGAAAUAGGACGAUCGAUCCUAUUUUGUUGGUUUCUAGGAUUGACGUA